UGUCGGUUCGCCGCCCGUCGGUGUCAACUGGCAUGUCCUGUGGAACGUCCUGCCGGUGGCGGACCGGGCUUUCGGCUUGCGUAAGGGCUUACGCCCGAAGCAGGCCGAACAGUACCGGCCGCCGGUCCAAUCCCGCCACGGUGCUCUUCACCGAGUGUCGAGGUGGGCCGGCACGUUUACUUUGAACAAAUUAGAGUGCUUAAAGCAGGCUGGUGUCCGCCUGAAUACUGUGUGCAUGGAAUAAUAGAAUAGGACCUCGGUUCUAUUUUGUUGGUUUUCGGAACCCGAGGUAAUGAUUAAUAGGGACAGGCGGGGGCAUUCGUAUUGCGACGUUAGAGGUGAAAUUCUUGGAUCGUCGCAAGACGAACCUAAGCGAAAGCAUUUGCCAAGUAUGUUCUCGUUAAUCAAGAACGAAAGUUAGAGGUUCGAAGGCGAUCAGAUACCGCCCUAGUUCUAACCAUAAACGAUGCCAGCCAGCGAUCCGCCGAAGUUCCUCCGAUGACUCGGCGGGCAGCUUCCGGGAAACCAAAGCUUUUGGGUUCCGGGGGAAGUAUGGUUGCAAAGCUGAAACUUAAAGGAAUUGACGGAAGGGCACCACCAGGAGUGGAGCCUGCGGCUUAAUUUGACUCAACACGGGAAACCUCACCAGGCCCGGACACCGGAAGGAUUGACAGAUUGAGAGCUCUUUCUUGAUUCGGUGGGUGGUGGUGCAUGGCC
RNAcentral lists this ribosomal RNA (717 nucleotides) under Aeneolamia albofasciata. RNAcentral describes it as "SSU rRNA". It matches the Rfam family "Eukaryotic small subunit ribosomal RNA", at positions 720 to 1289 of the family's 1831-position model. The record is from RNAcentral. Lineage: Eukaryota; Metazoa; Arthropoda; Insecta; Hemiptera; Cercopidae.